GUGUGAAUGUACUACAAGCAGAGUCACUUUUUGUAAAUGCUAUCUGGCAUGAUAUAAGAGUCUAGAGUUGCUGAUUACUUCAACUCCUGAAGAAGGGGAUCUCUUUCCCCGAAACAGGGUACAAAAAUACCCGGGCACCCCUGUUGAAUACCAUUUGGACUUUUCCUACAGAGACUUAUUUUGAGAAGCAGUGCUCCAUUUUCACUGGACUUGAUUUGGAUUUAUUCCAUGAAGAUUUUUGAGAGUGGUGCUCCAUCUUCAUUAUUGACUUCAGUAUACAUAUAGCCUCAUGACUCUAUGCUUACUUUGUGUAUGAUUUGUCUCAUUGUAUGUAUCCCUGAAGCCUAUAUACAGUGGUACCCUUGUUCAGACCUGGAACUGUUACAUUUGAGAGCGGUUGCUCCUUUUGAUUUUGUUUUGGGCCACUGAAUUGAGCUAUGUACUCGGGAUUUUGUUAAAUAGCAUACUAUAUGCUCUUUUGACAUUAUAUUUUGACAUUACA
Anolis sagrei ordinatus is the source of this 502-nucleotide non-coding RNA. NCBI's taxonomy places the organism in Eukaryota, Metazoa, Chordata, Lepidosauria, Squamata, Anolidae. The record is from RefSeq and is a predicted model, not a curated record.